AUGGCCUCCCGCCUCCUCCGCCUGCACCACCACCUCCGGCGCCGGCGCCACCACGGCACGAGCCCCGUCCCCUGCAGGCUCCUCUCCUCCUCCGACGAACCGCCGCCGCCGCCGCCGCGGACGGUGGAGAAGGUGCUGGUGGCGAACCGGGGGGAGAUCGCGUGCCGGGUGAUGCGGACGGCGCGGCGGCUCGGGAUCGCCACCGUGGCCGUGUACAGCGACGCCGACCGCGCCGCGCUGCACGUGCGCGCCGCCGACGAGGCCGUCAGGCUCGGCCCGCCCCCCGCGCGGGAGAGCUACCUCAACGCCGCCGCCAUCGUCGACGCCGCCCUCCGCACCGGCGCCAAGGCUAUCCACCCUGGAUAUGGGUUUCUUUCAGAGAGCGCAGAUUUCGCACAGCUCUGCGAAGCAGAGGGGCUAACGUUUAUUGGGCCUCCGCCAUCUGCAAUCCGAGAUAUGGGUGAUAAGAGCGCGUCAAAGAGGAUCAUGGGUGCUGCUGGUGUACCGCUUGUUCCAGGCUACCAUGGGGCUGACCAAGACAUUGAGUUGUUAAAACUUGAAGCUGAUAAGAUUGGAUAUCCAGUUUUGAUUAAACCCACACAUGGUGGAGGGGGCAAGGGGAUGAGAAUAGUUCAAGGGCCUGAUGACUUUGUGGAUUCUGUACGGAGUGCUCAACGUGAAGCUGCAGCAUCAUUUGGUAUAGACACACUGUUGAUUGAGAAGUAUAUUACUCAACCCAGACAUAUUGAAGUCCAGGUAUUUGGUGACAAACAUGGAAACGCUAUUCACCUUUACGAGAGGGACUGCAGUCUACAAAGAAGGCAUCAGAAGAUCAUCGAGGAAGCACCAGCUCCAAAUGUGACAACUGAGUUUCGGACUCAUAUUGGUGAAGCUGCUGUGUCGGCUGCGAAGGCAGUUGGUUACUACAGUGCUGGAACAGUGGAGUUUAUUGUGGAUACUCUUUCAGGAGAAUUCUAUUUCAUGGAGAUGAAUACUCGACUCCAGGUUGAACACCCAGUAACAGAGAUGAUAGUCGGUCAAGAUCUUGUGGAGUGGCAAAUACGUGUUGCAAAUGGAGAGCGCCUGCCAUUAUCUCAGGAGCAGGUCCCACUAAACGGACAUGCAUUUGAAGCCCGAAUAUACGCCGAAAAUGUUCCAAGAGGAUUUCUUCCUGCAACAGGAACCUUACAUCACUAUCGACCAGUCCUGUCUUCCCCAACAGUAAGAGUUGAAACUGGAGUCGAAGAAGGAGAUGCUGUCAGCAUGCAUUAUGAUCCCAUGAUAGCCAAACUUGUUGUUUGGGGUGAAAGUCGCAAUGCUGCACUAGUCAAGCUAAAGAACUGUUUGUCGAACUUUCAGAUUGCAGGUUUGCCUACAAAUGUUGCUUUCCUUCAAGAACUCGCAGGCCAUAAUGCCUUCGAAAGAGGCCUAGUUGAUACACAUUUCAUUGAGCGGUACAAAGAUGAUUUUCAAAGUACUUCUGCUAAGGCCUCGGGUGAAGCACAUGAUGCAGCUAAGCUUGGUGCAAUUUUGGCUGCUGCCUGCAUUUGUAAAAAGGAUCAUAUUAGCUCCGAAGAAUCCCUUCGUGACAAGACGCUUUCAGUAUGGUAUACCCGUCCACCUUUCAGGAUGCAUCACUCCGCGAAGCGUUUGAUGGAAUUUGAGUUAGAUGAAGAACUUGAGGGGUUGAGCGAUGAGCUCCUUAAAUUAUUGGUUACAUAUAGAUCUGAUGGAGGCUACUUCAUUGAGACUGAAGCUGGCUCUUCUCAUGGUUUUGAUGUGAAAGUAGAUGGUGGGAGCGAACAUGAUUUCCGGGUUGAAGUUGGUGGUGUGCAAACAGACGUGACAUUAGCAUUUUAUUCAAAGGAUAAUAGCAAACAUAUACACAUCUGGCAUGGGAAGCAUCACCAUCAUUACAGGCAGACCAUGAGAAUUGAGCAUUUACUUGAUGAUAGUUCUCAACCCAGCCAGGCUUCUGAGGGAAGGUCACAUCCAAAAGGAAGUGUUUUGGCACCAAUGGCUGGUUUGGUCGUUAAGGUUUUGCUUAAGGAUGGGGUACACGUGGAAGAUGGUCAGCCUGUCAUGGUUAUAGAAGCAAUGAAGAUGGAGCACGUUGUGAAGGCGCCUCGGGCAGGUUAUAUAGAAGGGCUGAAGGCUACCGCUGGACAACAAGUUUUUGACUCCAGUGUCCUUUUCACUGUCAAGGAUAAGAGCACGAACUGA
Molecule: ribosomal RNA, 2223 nt
Filed under: Triticum aestivum (bread wheat)
Lineage: Eukaryota; Viridiplantae; Streptophyta; Magnoliopsida; Poales; Poaceae
Description: partial small subunit ribosomal RNA
Source: RNAcentral